GCGGAAGUGGUGAAAUUGGUAUACACGCUAUCUUGAGGGGGUAGUGCUCGUCAGGGCAUGCGGGUUCAAGUCCCGCCUUCCGCA
Molecule: transfer RNA, 84 nt
Filed under: Ignavibacteriota bacterium
Lineage: Bacteria; Pseudomonadati; Ignavibacteriota
Description: Ignavibacteriae bacterium (bioreactor metagenome) tRNA-Leu
Rfam family: tRNA
About the family: Transfer RNA (tRNA) molecules are approximately 80 nucleotides in length.
Source: RNAcentral